Molecule: long non-coding RNA, 208 nt
Filed under: Vitis vinifera (wine grape)
Lineage: Eukaryota; Viridiplantae; Streptophyta; Magnoliopsida; Vitales; Vitaceae
Description: long non-coding RNA (VVIN_LNC003157)
Source: RNAcentral
UUAAACCAUCUACUAAUAAAACACUUUCAAUAAGGGAGGAUGUACCAUUACCUAUGUUACCUUGACCAAUGAUUCUUCCUUUUGCAUUGUCUCCAAAUGUGACAUAUCCUCCUUUUCUCUUUGUAAGGAAGGCAAACUUGGAUUUAUCCCCGGUCAUGUGUCUUGAGCACCCACUAUCCAAGAACCAUUUAUCCUCCUUUGAGCCCUC